GAUGAACGCUGGCGGCGUGCCUAAUACAUGCAAGUCGAGCGAACAGACGAGGAGCUUGCUCCUCUGACGUUAGCGGCGGACGGGUGAGUAACACGUGGAUAACCUACCUAUAAGACUGGGAAAACUUCGGGAAACCGGAGCUAAUACCGGAUAAUAUAUUGAACCGCAUGGUUCAAUAGUGAAAGACGGUUUUGCUGUCACUUAUAGAUGGAUCCGCGCCGCAUUAGGUAGUUGGUAAGGUAACAGCCUAUCAAGGCAACGAUGCGUAGCCGACCUGAGAGGGUGAUCGGCCACACUGGAGCUGAGCCACGGACCAGGCUCCUACGGGAGGCAGCAGUAUGGAAUCUUCCGCAAUAGGCGGAAGCCUGGCAGAGCAAGGCCGAGUGAGUGACGAAGGUCUUCCGAUCGUAAAACCCUGUUAUUAGGGAAGAACAAAUGUGUAAGUAACUAUGCACGUCUUGACGGUACCGAAUCAGAAAGCCACGGCUAACUACGUG
RNAcentral lists this ribosomal RNA (497 nucleotides) under uncultured bacterium. RNAcentral's name for it is "partial 16S ribosomal RNA". It matches the Rfam family "Bacterial small subunit ribosomal RNA", at positions 28 to 507 of the family's 1533-position model. The record is from RNAcentral.